RNAcentral lists this ribosomal RNA (137 nucleotides) under uncultured eukaryote. RNAcentral's name for it is "partial 18S ribosomal RNA". It matches the Rfam family "Eukaryotic small subunit ribosomal RNA", at positions 1299 to 1458 of the family's 1831-position model. The record is from RNAcentral.
UGGUGGAGUGAUUUGUCUGCUUAAUUGCGAUAACGAACGAGACCUUAACCUGCUAAAUAGCCCGGCUGGCUUUUGCAAGUCGCAGGCUUCUUAGAGGGACUAUCUACUCAAGUGGAUGGAAGUUUGAGGCAAUAACA